Non-coding RNA from Misgurnus anguillicaudatus (oriental weatherfish), 673 nucleotides. The record is from RefSeq and is a predicted model, not a curated record. Lineage: Eukaryota; Metazoa; Chordata; Actinopteri; Cypriniformes; Cobitidae.
CUGUGUAUUUUAUUACUGAUGUCACCUGAGAUCCUGUGGCAGAUCCUGAUGGGAGUAGUCAAGGUUGAUGGCGAUGUGGCUGUCUUGAGGCUUGCACUCAAAUGCUAGAUGUUUAGGGACAUUGUCAGUGAGCCCAAAUUUAAAGAACAGGCUCACUUUUUGUGGCUUGACAGUCAUGAGAACUGGAUUGUGUUCUACAGACAACAGUUUCGGAUGCCCUACUGUCUGACUCAAUGCUUCCACUGUGGAGAAAUCUUCAAAGACUGCCCACCUGGCAAUGUUGGGGAAAAAUAUUUGCACAAGUUACAUAAUAAUAUACGAGCAUAUAUUUGACAUGACUUUAUUUUCAUGAAUCUUAUAAUAGUUCGAUGAUUUCUGUUUAGGGACACCAAAUAUAAAUUGUUAUACGAAAUAAUUUGCUUUUUUACGAUAAUGCACACUUUUUUCUACUCAUAUUGUAUGAAGACCACAACUUGCUCUACAAUAUGGAACAGCAUAUUUUGCAUAUUUUUCAAAGUAUUAAAAUAUCUUUUGACAUUUUUAUUUCAUUUAAAUAUAACAGCACCCACACUGUCGUAUAACUGUUGAGGGUGAAAUACAAUUUGAAAACUUACUGGCUGUAUUGGAAAAAUAAACAAAAAUGGCAUGUGCAUAAAAAUUUGGAACACGGUGU